This 719-nucleotide ribosomal RNA is filed under the name uncultured Verrucomicrobiota bacterium. RNAcentral's name for it is "bacterial SSU rRNA". It matches the Rfam family "Bacterial small subunit ribosomal RNA", at positions 70 to 766 of the family's 1533-position model. Lineage: Bacteria; Pseudomonadati; Verrucomicrobiota. The record is from RNAcentral.
UGCGGGGUAGCAAUAUUCCGCAGUCGGAGCGGCGCAAGGGUGCGUAACACGUGGGCAAUUUGCCGUGAAGCCUGGAAUAACUCGCUGAAAGGCGAGCUAAUGCCGGAUGUGAUUUCUGGAGGGCAUCCUCCGGAACUUAAAGCUGGGGACCGUAAGGCCUGGCACUUCACGAUAAGCCCGCGGCCUAUCAGCUAGUUGGUGAGGUAACGGCUCACCAAGGCUAAGACGGGUAGCUGGUCUGAGAGGACGACCAGCCACACUGGAACUGAGACACGGUCCAGACACCUACGGGUGGCAGCAGUCGAGAAUUUUUCACAAUGGGCGAAAGCCUGAUGGAGCGACGCCGCGUGGGGGAUGAAUGGCUUCGGCCCGUAAACCCCUGUCAUUUGCGAUCAACCGUUGUUAUUUAAAAGAUGACAGCCUGAUAGUAGCGAAAGAGGAAGGGACGGCUAACUCUGUGCCAGCAGCCGCGGUAAUACAGAGGUCCCAAGCGUUGUUCGGAUUCACUGGGCGUAAAGGGUGCGUAGGCGGUCGGGUAAGUCUGAUGUGAAAUCUCGGAGCUCAACUCCGAAACGGCAUCGGAUACUAUCCGGCUCGAGGAGCGGAGGGGAGACUGGAAUUCUCGGUGUAGCAGUGAAAUGCGUAGAUAUCGAGAGGAACACCAGUGGCGAAGGCGAGUCUCUGGACACCUCCUGACGCUGAGGCACGAAAGCCAGGGG